CCGAGUUCUCCCAAACGUGUAUUCAGUGUUGCGGGAAAAAUGUGGCCAGUGCAAUUGAUGGGCCGAGCGGGACUGCGUGUUUGCGUGUAUGGUGAGUGAUGAAUUUGAAACGCUCAAAUAAUGAAAUUGCGGUUGUUGAAUAUAUAGCGGAAAAGAAAUCGGAACAGGCAACUUUUACAUGACGCAGCAGCAGUAGUAGCAAAUCAUGAGCGUCCAGAACAGUUUGCGACCAGGUACGAAGGUACAAUUUCAUUUGCUUUAUUUUCCUACACCAGAAAAACGGUGUCUAGCACCUUGUUUGGUAACAGUUAGAUGUAAUAUUUGACGAGGAGUUUUACCGCACGGGUGAAUCCUAGGUGUUGGUAAAUAUUGAAAUUAAUUAAGCAGCCGUCGGAUGUGGAAUUUACGGUUAUGGUUGUACGUUGGUGGUAUCGGUUAUGCAUCAUGAAUCGAGUCAUAAGUUAAUUAAGCCAUCCUCUUGAAUGUUAUGUUGAAUAAGUCAAUCCAUUUCAACGCAUCCGUUGCUCUAGCUUCGACUGCAAUAGUACGAACCGGGAAGAUGCUCCUUUGCUGGGAGUUUGGUGCAACUAAUGAUGACCAGCUGAAAGCGAAUGUCGACCAUCAACGCUGCAGGGAAAAGCAAUUUGUGCGUUGGUCUGAUUGGUACGGGAGUUUGUUUUCCUCAAACUCACAGCCGCAUCCUAUUAUUUUUGGUCCAUUUCCGGACCAAACGAGUCACAGACGUUAGGAAAGAUAGGGUAUUUCCGUUGGGGAUAAGUAAUGCAUUUGAUCCUGCUCGGUAUAAGACCAAAAGUCAUAGGGAAAUGAGAUGUAGUCAUUAUUUUCACCGGUUGGUUUGUAAAUGAGCAGACGUUGCCAUCUGGGUGGUUGCAUUUAACGACGUAGAUCAAAGCCCAGAAGAGAAGUUGAUGGUAAAAGAUGGUAGAUCACGUUAAACGUUAGAACAGCAACUUUAGGAAGGAACUCUGACUUUCUAAUAAUACAUGAAUUAGAUGGAGUUAUUAGAUGAAAAAAUCUUUAGUUUCAUGCAAAAUCAAAUUUGUUGAACUUAUGUGUCAAGCGAUAGUGUUAAUAAGAAAAGUUCAAACAUUUACACGCUAGCUUCCAUUGUUGCAAAAAAAACGCUUUAUUAUCAAUAAA
Molecule: long non-coding RNA, 1161 nt
Organism: Anopheles merus
Lineage: Eukaryota; Metazoa; Arthropoda; Insecta; Diptera; Culicidae
Exons: 3
Source: RefSeq, a predicted model, not a curated record